AUCAGCGUGGUGCCGGGUGUCUGGGGUGGCUACACGUACCAUCCCCCGCUGACAGUGAAGAAUUGAAAGGAUUGGUUGGAAGCUGAGCGCCGAGGGCAGACCUACGAAAUUGGAGGUGUGGUAGAGCUGUACUGUAACAUGAAUGAGUGGGAAUAGGAGGGUGGACUGGGUGUCCUCUCUGCUCGCGUAUAUAAGAGACGAACUUUCUACCAAACGCACACGAGAGGGAACAACGGCACGGAGAAGCAGUGUUUGUUACAGUCAAUACACUCGGUUAACACUAUCGUCCGGCUCGAUCGUUUUGAAGACAGACCUUCCUACAACUAGUCCAACGUCUAAGGUAUUGUACGAUCUCUCCAGAACACCGACAGUCGAAGGUGAGGAACAGGCUGACCGUUGACCUUAGCACGGAUCACAAAGUCCCGACCACUGUCCAUGACCAAUAUGAGUCCUACUAACUCCACUUUAAAAGCGAGCUGCAGUCCUAGGUCAGUGUCGUGCAGCGCUAGUCGUGCAGCACUUGUCGCACUGCUGCUGCUGGCGUUGCCAUCGACGCUAGGGGAGAAUCGGUACACUUGGGAUUGUAAUGCAGUGUUUCCCUGCUUAAACGGGGGCGAGCGGGAUUACGGCCAUGACCCCCUCAUGGCUAACUGUCGAUGUAUUUGUUCCCGAGAUUAUGAAGGGCCACGAUGUCAGUACCGCAGUGCGUUUAUGAACUUGGGUGAUUUUAUACGCGACGCCGUCGUGACGGAACAGCGCCGACAAAACCAGACAAGACAGGGACGGACAACGAGGAUGAGUCUAGAGAGCAGCUGGUAGAACGGUGGAGGGGUCGUGAGAGAACACACCUCAGUCCCAACUGUUGACAGCACAAGCCACCAAAAUACCAAUAUCCUGGAGAAGUUCUCAUGUUUUUGCCAACGACACCGAGCAGGCGGCAACGGCUUUGUUGACAUCAACUGUCGACAGUGAAUAAUAUAGGCAACGGUGUCUGUGAUGAAGACAUGUUGAACUGAAAAUGUCAAUAUAAGAGUUAUCGAUCUUGACUAA
Pomacea canaliculata is the source of this 1050-nucleotide long non-coding RNA. RefSeq lists it as uncharacterized. The transcript has 2 exons. The record is from RefSeq and is a predicted model, not a curated record. Lineage: Eukaryota; Metazoa; Mollusca; Gastropoda; Architaenioglossa; Ampullariidae.